This 1960-nucleotide long non-coding RNA is filed under the name Paramuricea clavata. Lineage: Eukaryota; Metazoa; Cnidaria; Anthozoa; Malacalcyonacea; Plexauridae. The record is from RNAcentral.
UUUAUGCCUUCCGUCUCAACGAAUGAUCUUAAACUAUGUAUUAUACAUGAAGACAUUACUUCCCACACACGCAUUAUCGGCUUGGGUGUUGCAUCUCCUGAGCUCCGUUUACUGGGCGGUGUACUGAAUAGAACACUGUAAAUAAUUCACCUCGUUGUUGGGUUAAUCUGGCUGGGGGUAAAGAUUCCCCCAGCCGCUUUAUUUUAACUUUCGAAAUAUAAUACAUAAGAUAUGUAUCUACAUUAAAAUGUUCUGAAACCGUUUUGCCCAGUAAAGGUGAGGGCAAGAUUACGCCAAAGCAUCGAACAGGAGAAGAUGCCGCCCCACCCCAGGCGAAUGCAACACUCAAGUCUGUUACCAUUGAUGUAACCAAGCGCAAAGCGCUCUUGCUAUAAUCUACUUAGUCGUACUGAUGCUAAACAAGUCAAAACCACAAAUUUGGUUAAAGAACAGUCGCCCUUGCAAACUGUCUUCGUUAUAGUAAGUUUUAAAUAUUGACUAGGUCGAUUUAUCAAAUAGAGGUGAAAUGAUAAGAUACAGGUAGUCGCCCUUGCUGACUGCCCUGUGCAAAAGCUAACAUUAGAGAAACCUCGUAAAACGAACGUAUAGUAUAAGUUUUAACAGUCGCCCUUGCUAACUGUUAAUGUUCAUAUAUAUAACGAUAACAAUUUGAACUACUUACAAAUGCCAAGGUACCUGCAUGACUGGUACCUGAAGGCUACUUAUUUCAAUACAUUACAAGUGUUAAUUAAGUGUUAAUGCCUCAGUGACAACUGACAAAAUGCAACCGCCCUUGCUAAUCGCAAAUGGUCACCUGAUGACAGAAGCACUAACUGGAUUAUCAUUGUUGCCUGACCACAAGACUUUCCCCCGCAAAUCUUGCGGUCAGGCGCUAAGAUUAAUUUUGAAUAAAACCUUUUGAUCGGUAGGAAGAAAUUAAGUGGAAAUCGCUGGAACCCGAAUGUACUUAUGAAAAGCAUUUGACUUCCAUCGCCCCAUUGUGCGAAUUUGUGAAUCGGACAUCCCCCUUUCUACGGCCCAUGUGCCGGCACCAAUACGAAAACUGUGAGACUUGUAGCGAGACGAGUUAAGACCACACAAACGUAUUGCUUCAGACAGCUGUUUAGCAAAAACCUCUCUAGCUACAGGCAUGCCUUUCUGCGUUACAAAUAUUGGACCUGGUUGAAUGCCUCGCAAUGCUAGGUACUCAAGCAGUAGUGCGACAGGACAGCACGACGUUUGACGAUAAACCAGUAACGUAAAAGGCCGUUGGUUAUAAUUGUGCUUGAAAUCUAGAAAGGUUAAUUUGAUGCCAACCACUUUGUGGCUCGAGUCGUAAACAUAGGAAAUUUGAUCCAUUUGCAAAGGUUGACAACUUGCGUUGUUAGUUUGCUUAGUAAUUUCGCCAAUCCUUAAAAAGGCGAAGAAUGCCAAAGAGCACAUUGCUUUGAAUUGACAAACCUGGUAGCACGAAGCAGUAAUACCAGGAGCCGCAGCAAGCAAACUUUGUAUAGUAUUGGCAAAGUCACCGGCAAGCGACUGUCUAAACGUAUGCCAUUUUUUGCAUAGCCUUUUAACAUUUGAAUGAUGUAGAAAACUCGAGUUGGAUCAGGUAAACUGGACAAUUUGUGAGAAUAACCAAUGGCAGAAAUGUAAGUGUUGACUGUAGAGGAUGCAUAAUUGCGGUCAAAUAAAUACGCUAUAAAAAGCGCCAAUGUUGCGGGCGAAAUAGGCAUGCUAAAACGAGCUGUCUGAAAAAUCGCAGUGUGGAAUUGAGCAAAUAGUUUCCAUGCCCUAGUAUAAGUAGGAAUAGAUGAUUGCUGUAAACUUGAUUUAGUCAAAUGAGUGACUAUAUCCGCCAGUUUUGAGGCUGUAGAUGAAAGGGGAUGUCUGUGGGAAGACUGUUCAUGUUGGCCGGUGCUAAUUGUUGGAAGGCAGUCACCUGAAAUCGAGAUAAACA